GGGAAGCACACACACACACACACUGGGGAUGAGAAGAUGAACUUAUCCGUACAGUCGCCCAAACACCACAAAUUCUUUUCAGUGACAAUCUCUGUACUGUGAUCAAACAUUUGAAAUUUUGGCCACGGUCGUUUGAUGUGAUGUAGAGAAGUCACAAAAAUCGACUACCGUCGCCAAAAUUUUUAAUUUUGAUCACAGUAAAGAGUUUGUCUUGUCGCUGGAAACUUAUUUGAAUGUGCGGCGUGCGCCACAUCGUUUGGAUUGGAGGUCUGCAGUGCAGUUCGCCGGAACAAACAAACCGCCCCGCCCAAGGUGGCCCCGCCGCCCCGCCGGGACCGCCGCGAUACGAGCGCUCCGCGCGGCCACCGGUUGAGUUGAACAACGUCAACGAUCAACGGCAUCUGCCGAGGGCGUGAAUGUUGUUGUGUGAUGAAAUUCAACUUGUAUCAGGCAGGGGGGCAUGUAGCAGCCGUUGAGGCGGACGGCCUGGAGGUGGCGCCGCUUGUGGCGCAGCAGCAGCACGAAGAAGAAGCAGUCGCCGUCGUCGAAGAAGUCGGUGCUGAGGCCGCUGAUGUCGAGCUCCCGGAGCGACGGGC
Frankliniella occidentalis (western flower thrips) is the source of this 596-nucleotide long non-coding RNA. RefSeq lists it as uncharacterized. Lineage: Eukaryota; Metazoa; Arthropoda; Insecta; Thysanoptera; Thripidae. The transcript is spliced from 3 exons. The record is from RefSeq and is a predicted model, not a curated record.